Molecule: ribosomal RNA, 452 nt
Filed under: uncultured bacterium
Lineage: Bacteria
Description: bacterial SSU rRNA
Rfam family: Bacterial small subunit ribosomal RNA
Source: RNAcentral
GUCUAGAAGCUUCGACAAUGGGGGCAACCCUGAUCGAGCGACGCCGCGUGCAGGAUGAAGAUCUUCGGAUCGUAAACUGCUUUCGCUGGGGGAGAAAGGCAUCUCGGUGAAUAGCUGAGGUGUCCGACGGUACCCAGUAAAGAAGCCCCGGCUAAGUCCGUGCCAGCAGCCGCGGUAAUACGGGCGGGGCGAGCGUUGUUCGGAUUUAUUGGGUGUAAAGGGUGCGCAGGCGGUCGACUAAGUCGAAGGUGAAAUUUCUACGGCUCAACCGAGGAACUGCCUCCGAUACUGGACGACUUGAGUGCGGAAGGGGAGCGUGGAAUUCCUGGUGUAGCGGUGAAAUGCGUAGAUAUCAGGAGGAACACCCGUGGCGAAGGCGACGCUCUGGUCCGUAACUGACGCUCAUGCACGAAAGCCAGGGGAGCGAACGGGAUUAGAUACCCGAGUAGUCC